CAUUUAAAGAGGUACGUGAGCUGGGUUUAAAACGUCGUGAGACAGUUUGGUCCCUAUCUUCCGUGGGCGCUGCAGAUUUGAGGAAGCCUGCUCCUAGUACGAGAGGACCGGAGUGGACGCACCUCUGGUGUACCUGUUGUCACGCCAGUGGCAUUGCAGGGUAGCUAAGUGCGGAAGAGAUAACCGCUGAAAGCAUCUAAGCGGGAAACUCGUUUCAAGAUGAGAUCUGCCGGGGCCUCGAGCCCCCUGAAGAGUCGUUCUAGACCAGGACGUUGAUAGGCUGGGUGUGGAAGCGCAGCAAUGCGUUAAGCUAACCAGUACUAAUUGCUCGUGCGGCUUGACCCU
This 345-nucleotide ribosomal RNA is filed under the name Burkholderiales bacterium. RNAcentral's name for it is "partial 23S ribosomal RNA". It matches the Rfam family "Bacterial large subunit ribosomal RNA", at positions 2585 to 2925 of the family's 2925-position model. The record is from RNAcentral. Lineage: Bacteria; Pseudomonadati; Pseudomonadota; Betaproteobacteria; Burkholderiales.